GACGAACGCUGGCGGCGUGCUUAACACAUGCAAGUCGAACGGAAAGGCCCCUUUGGGGGUACUCGAGUGGCGAACGGGUGGGUAACACGUGAGUAACCUGCCCUUGACUUCGGGAUAACUUCAGGAAACUGGGGCUAAUACCGGAUAGGAAUCCUUGCUGCAUGGUGGGGGUUGGAAAGCUUCGGCGGAUUUGGAUGGACUCGCGGCUUAUCAGCUUGUUGGUGGGGUAGUGGCUUACCAAGGCUUUGACGGGUAGCCGGCCUGAGAGGGCGACCGGCCACAUUGGGACUGAGAUACGGCCCAGACUCCUACGGGAGGCAGCAGUGGGGAAUAUUGCACAAUGGGCGGAAGCCUGAUGCAGCAACGCCGCGUGCGGGAUGACGGCCUUCGGUUUGUAAACCGCUUUCAGCAGGGGCGAAGCUUGUGGUGACGGUACCUGCAGAAGAAGCACCGGCUAACUACGUG
Molecule: ribosomal RNA, 465 nt
Filed under: uncultured bacterium
Lineage: Bacteria
Description: partial 16S ribosomal RNA
Rfam family: Bacterial small subunit ribosomal RNA
Source: RNAcentral